Long non-coding RNA from Passer domesticus (house sparrow), 5734 nucleotides. RefSeq lists it as uncharacterized. The record is from RefSeq and is a predicted model, not a curated record. NCBI's taxonomy places the organism in Eukaryota, Metazoa, Chordata, Aves, Passeriformes, Passeridae. The transcript has 5 exons.
CUUACUUUCAAGCUUAUGUUUUUAUGUAAACACUGAAUGACUCACAUGGCUUUUACUUCGGGGAAUUGAUAUGGACUGAGAAAAUUGCAGAAAGAAAUCUUCCAUCUGCCUGUGUUAAUUCAGACCCACCAAGAGCCAGGCUGGCCCCAGCAAGUCCCCUCACCACUGACUCCUUCUGGAGCAUUUCUAUCAUCUAAAGUUGAUGGUGUCUUUUUAAAUGCAGUCCCAGCCCUCAUACAGGACUGUAAAAUAUAUCCUGAAAUGCACUGUGGUUGGACAACAGAGAAAGAGAUCCCCAGCCCAGGAUGUCAGUAUCGAGUGCACCCUCAGCAAAUUUGCAGAUGACAUCAAGCUGACUGCAGAAAAUUUGUACUCGUCAUAAGCUUCAAUUAAGGUAAAUGAACGCUAUAAAUCUGGAAUCCCCGAAUGCAUAAUCAGCAAACAAAGAGCUGCCAUGUGGAAAGCACACUGUUGGCCAAGCAGCAGAAGCUGAUUGAACUGGCUCUCACACCACUGGUGAACCUGGUCCACAGCUCAUUUUACCCUUUCUUUCCAAGCCAGUACCAGGAUCUAAGGCACAUAAUGUGUCCUACAGAACUUCUGCAGUAGACUUGCUGUGUCAUUUCUCAGGCAUGAAGUCGGCAGAAGGCAGUUUGUCUGUCUCUUUCAUGGCUCACAGGGUGCCCAGCUGAAUCACCAUAAAGUGGGAACCUCCAGCGCCGUGAGCUUUCCCUGUUCUAUGAACUGAGGCAAGCAAGCAGCCCAGCCUCACUCUCCCAUGGGCACUGGCACAUCACAGGGUCCCUCUGGAGGCUGACCCUUGGGCCCUGCUCACUGUCACGUGCACCAGACAGGGCAGGUAAAUAUGUCAUGUGGUGCUCUUUGGACAAGGGCUGUUUGCCAAACUUUAGAGGAGAUUGAUGCACUUGUUUCACAACUGAAGGGGGGAAAGUGAAAACAUUUGGGAGCUGGCCCUGUCAGAGUACACACAUCUCUCUAUCUAAAUGGAAUGUCUAAAUUGCUAAGUCUUCAGAAGUGUUUUCAUCAGUAACAUAGCAUUACACAGAAACCUCUUACACAGAGCAAAAGAUAAAAAAACUCACCCCAACAAGCAGUCAGGGAUUAAGAUCACUUUGAGAUUUAUGAAUUUGAAAUAAUCUUCUCAAAUUCAAAAUGGCUGCCCCAAGGGAGGGAGAAGGUAGCCUGGACCAUCUCACUCAUCUAUGACAUGAACCAGGCAGAGCAGAAGCUAAACCAGACCUCUCUGAGCAGAUGUGUAUGGAACCUUCCUGCCAGCACUCCUUGCCUGUGUGGAUUCUCUGAUGUCCAGAAAAAAAGGAGUUAAUCAUCCAUCACCUCCCUUCAUGGUAAUUCUCAUCUAAAGGGAAGAAUGAAACCACUGGAUUCACACAUUAUGGACACAGGAGAGACACACACAUGCCUGUAAAUUUUCUAAGAUUAUGAAUUAAACUUAGGAAAAAAGAGUUAUUUUUCUGCUAGAGUAGAAGAUGUUACAACGGCUAUUCCUAAAAUUAGAAGUGCUUACUGAAAAACCUAGCAGCGUGUAUUCCAUUAGCUAAGAGGAAUCUUUGCUGUGUAUCUUUGCCCAUACAAACAGCAGAGAAUUUGCCUGCUCCUCUCCCUGAUGAGCACAAACACAUGCACAGCUCCCCACUUCAUGAUGUCACUGAUAUCAAAGAAAAAAUCUCCCUGCACUUGAGCAGGGCAGUCAGGUGCACAGUGAGCUCCUGCCCAGCCAUGCAAUGCAAGAGAAGAAGGUCAUCAGCGUGAUGAACAAAUGUAGGUAAAUGCACACAAUUCCCUUGUCUAAACCCUCCAUGCAUUUCAUGCAGCAUGGAUGCAGGAUAGCCAUCUCCUGGAGAGCACCAUGUGUUAGUCCAUGGCAGGAUCACUAUCCAAGGCAUCACACUGUUCUGCUGUGCUAACACUGCACUGAAAAGCUGGACAUGCAGCACCAUCCUUUAGGUCUUCCACUCUUUUCACCAGACACCUGCUUUUGUGCCAUUAACCCAAUAAAAUUUGUCUCAGCAAACACUAGGGACAUUUCCCCAGCAACAUGGCUGGGACAAGAAAUCCACUGGGCCAUAAGGUGCCCAGAUGAAAACUCCUUUCAUCAGGAACUUUGGCCACAAUUUUGCAUGGGUCUGAAAUUCACCAUUCCCAGGGGAUGGCCGCAGUGUGCUAUGCAGGGAGAGGGAUGUAGAUGGACCAAAACAUCCUGGGGCGCUGCUCCUCCUGCCAGCUGGGCACUACUGGAGCCAUCCUUGGGUCUGGGAAAGUCUAAUGCUCUGUCAGGUAAGUGUCCUUGAAGGCCUGAAACUCUCUUUUGUGAAGGCUGCAUGCAUGGCUGAGAUCAGCCUUGAGGUAUGCUGGGAGAGUUAGGAAUUCAUUCCCUCACUGCAAGCUCGGUGAGGGGAUUUUCUCCAUAAUAUCUGAGUGCUGCUUUACAAUAAGAAACUAAUUAUUUUAAAUGAAGUAAGGCUCAGUGCAACUAGAGAAUUAAAUGUAAAAUAUAAUCAUGCCUUGUAUCGACAGGACAGCAAGUAAUUGGCUACUUUCCUGCAAUUUUCACCUCAGCUCACCUUGGUAUGCAGUCACUUCACUGCUCUGCCUCAAACUUUGUUUCUGUGCCAAGUUAAUAAGGGUGCAAUCUUUUCCAUUAAUUUUAAGAGGCUUUGGAGCAAGCCCUGCACAUGUGGGAAUUACAGCUGCAGUGUGAUGGUGCUGCCUGCUGUGUCUGAAGCUUUCAUUCACAGAGCUCAUCACACACCAGUCCAUAGGCAGGCAGCCAGAAAUGCACUUGUUAGCUCCUUGUAGAUACACCUGUGAGGUGAUUACAGCAGCACAAAUGGAUUUUUGUGAACUGGUAGUCACUGAAAAAGCCAGUGCUUUUCAUAGAUGCAGGCCACUGGGUCUGACCCAGAAAAGCAAACUGAGGUCAGAUCAAACCAUUCAACUCUGUCAGCUCAUGAGAGUGUUUCAGCAGUGCUGUGUGUGGUACCAUUCAGCAAAACUAAGAAAUUAGUGUAUUUCUAAUAGUUAAAAGAAACUGAUACUUCCUUUUCUAUUCAUACUCCAGGGUACUUUGGGCUUCUCCAGGUUUACUACCUCUGUCUGCCUGGAAAAUUUUGAACCUGCCUUGGCUGUUUCCUUGAGCAAUGUGGCAACAGCCAUCUGGGGAAUACUUUCAGUUACUGAUUCUGGUGUCUAUUUAUGGAGUAAUUUACUGAAUAUAUAAUAUUUUAUUAACCACUGAAGCAGACCCUGGUCCCCAGCUGCCAGUUUACAGAUCCUAUGGAUUUUCUGUCCUCAUCUCUCAGUUAAUGUUUAAAUAUUGAAUAGUUAUUCUUUAUUGAUAAAUAUUUAAGUGAGAGAGGUAUACUUCUGAGGGCUCUUACAAGAGAGAUGGGUGAGGAGAAUUAAAAAGAGAGAAAUUUAUUUGAAGCCAAAUGUAAAUCACAGUGAGGAUACGACCUGAGUCUCUUAUCCCUUGGAUGAACAGCCACAGAACUCUAGAAUUAAGGAAGAAGAUUAUAGCAGUGUAGGCAGUCAACACCUUUGAGGGUAUUUGUUGGUUUAUUUCUUAGGAAACGUCUCUGGGAUCCACCCAAGGCAAUCAGACACAAAUUCCUAAAAGGACAGAGACCCCAUCUGUAAAUGGGAACAUCCUGCCACGCCUUACUGCAGCUGUUCCCUGACAAGAGGAAACAGCCUCAAGUUGUUCCAGAGCAGUUUUAGAUUGGAUAUUAGGAUUGUCAAGCAUUGGCACAAGCUGCCCAGGGAAGUGGUGGGGUCACCAUCCCUGGACAUAUUUAAAAGAUGUGCAGAUGUGAAGGACAGGGUUUAGAAGUGGGCUUGGCAGUGCUGAGUUAAUGGACUGAACAAUCUUGAAGAUCUUUUAUACCCUAAAUGAUUUUAUGAUGCUAUGGCAACACCAGUGGCUUUUCUGUCCUCUUCCCAGGCAUAAAAAUAGGAGGAGCUCCAUUUCCUUUUUCCUCUAGCUGAUUGUGGAGCUUUCUUGGCCUUUUCUUGCCACUAUAAGCAUUAGCUUUUCCAGUGUGCUGGGAUUUGUAUUGAUUUGGGUCUCAGUUUCAAAACACAGUAGCCCUGACUACAAGUGUGUUACCACAUCUGUGUUUGUAAACAUGCUGAAAGGUGCAUAGGAUCAUGUCUCUGGAGGCAGCUGAGCAUCUCAUGAUCCUGUGGAACACAACAAGAAGAGAAAAGAGCAAAAUGUCUCAUAUAUGCCUCAUAAUUCAUGUAGAGGUCUAAGAGGGAUACAGAAGAAAAAUGGUUCUAAUGAGCAGAUCUGGUCAGAACCAGUAAGACUGCAGUUAAAUUGACUUCCUAUGGUAUAUUUGUUUUGGUACUUCAGCACAAAUAUACUUUUCCUUUGAACUGUGCCUCAGCCAUGUACUUGGAGCCACCCUCACUGGCCCUCUGCCUCUUCAGAGUCUGGAAAGUGGGACAGCUUCAGCUGAGAAGAGCACAACCCUGCCCAAAAGGUAGUCAAGAUGGUUGCAGCACUGCAGGAGAAGAUGCUUUCAGCUCAGAGAAGGCAGGGAAUAGAAGAUAUCUGCUCAUUCUUUGGCCUUUAAAAUCAGCCCAAGGCCCCUUGCCAACUUGUCACCACCAAGAUGUGGUGGAAAUGGAAUUUCUUGAUCCCAGCUUGGUUUUAUCUGACUUGUUUUACACACAAAACAUGGCCAGUUCUAGAGCUACCCAGGGACAGAGAGCCAGCUGCUAAGUGGGAUUUUACAUCUUAAACUUAUUCAUGGGAGCAGAUUAGUCGAUUAGUCAUAUUUUUUUCAAGUGCUGGUCUAUAGUAUCUCAGAGUCCCAACUGUAAAAAAAACCACAAUGGUUUCCAGCUUUUGGAACUCUUCAGGAAAGAAUGAAUUUCUUGAUAGGAGUGUGAAGUCAGAAGUGAAAGCUGUGCUUUGGUGUAUGAACACACAUCCCAGUGAGUCCCUGGGACAGAGGUGUUAAUAGAUGCCAUGGAUACAAUAAAGCAGAGGACUUGUUUCCUGGUGGAGUGAUAUUUCUUUCUGUUUAUUCAUAUUACACUUAUUAUAACACUAUCAGCAUGAAGAGGGUUAUAUUAAUGAGGGCAGCAGAGAUAAGAUCAUGUGCCUGCACGGGCUGCUGGUACCUUGCACACAGCUUGAUCCUAUUCAAAGGCUUAAACAUACUUAAAUCCUAUCCAAAUCCUUUAUCACUUUAAGCCUCUUAUGGCUUUAAUGCUUCAAAAAUACACCCUGGAUCAGUCAGCCUGACAAACUGGAAAGAGAGGAAAGGCUAGGGCUUUUGAUGGCACCCGGGGCUUGUGCCUUGCACACUUAGCUCAGGGUCCUCAGAAAAUCCUCAGUGGCCAGGCAGGAUCACCCUGGGACCAGGGGCAGGAGGAAGUUCCAUGAUCCCUGUCUCUGAGGAGUGGGAUGGUGCUGGGCAUCAUGGGCAUGGGAACAUGUUCCUUUCUGGGAGCAAUGAGAUGUAAGUGGGUUCAUGGUGCCCACUUUCAUGAAAGCCUCUGCAUGGCAGUGAGCUGUUUGAAAAGGUCAGUGUUCCUUUCAUGCUGCCACCCCUUGUCUUGGAACAGGACAGUGCCAGAGAUCCAUGUCACCCGUGUUUACUGUAGUAAACCCUACAGUAGCAACUGCAGGGGUGUAGGGUUUAUUUUCCAGCAUGUGUGCUCACCCUGCUUGGCAUGGCAG